UACGUAGGGGGCAAGCGUUGUCCGGAAUUAUUGGGCGUAAAGAGCGUGUAGGCGGUCCGGUAAGUCAGCUGUGAAAGUCAAGGGCUCAACCCUUGAAUGCCGGUUGAUACUGUCGGGCUAGAGUCCGGAAGAGGCGAGUGGAAUUCCCGGUGUAGCGGUGAAAUGCGCAGAUAUCGGGAGGAACACCAGUGGCGAAGGCGACUACCUGGCCUGUUCUUGACGCUGAGGCGCGAAAGCUAGGGGAGCAAACGGG
Molecule: ribosomal RNA, 253 nt
Filed under: uncultured bacterium
Lineage: Bacteria
Description: partial 16S ribosomal RNA
Rfam family: Bacterial small subunit ribosomal RNA
Source: RNAcentral